This 867-nucleotide long non-coding RNA is filed under the name Mus caroli (Ryukyu mouse). Its description in RNAcentral is "lncRNA (MGP_CAROLIEiJ_G0006808.1)". The record is from RNAcentral. Lineage: Eukaryota; Metazoa; Chordata; Mammalia; Rodentia; Muridae.
UGUUGGUGGGGNACUUGGUAUCUUCCCUACCUUGGUAUCUUAGUAUCUUCCCUACCUUCGAAUUUCAAGUCUCUGCUAGGCUACGGGCUUCCUCUCCCUCUGAAACCUAUGAUUAUCUUCAGUUGACUUGUAAAUUUCUGGUAGGAUAUUUUUUUGGCAAAAGAAAAAAAUCGUGUUUCCAACAUUUCCAUUAUUUAAAANUUUAGUAUUUAAUAGGAUUGUUCUUAAUUCCUAAUGGCUUCCACUGUUUUCUAUUUAUUUCAUUUAGCAUUUUAAUUAAUAAAAACAAUGAUGUAAGUUACUGGGCCUACAAUUCUGUUAUCAGUAAGUUCAGAGUUGAGGUUCUGCAUANUUUAGUUUUGAUGCUGACUUACUCAGUUCUGGAGCUGUAUUCAUCCUCAGUAAACAGUGUGUGCCAGGAAACCACUGGGGAAACUUCUGCNAAGGGAUCUAAAUGACUUAGUAGGAGAAGUCACUUCUUUACUUUCUCACUUGUUUACAUGUCCUGUGUUUGCAGUAUGACUCUUUUUUAAUAUGGUGUCACCCACUGGACUCAGUGUACUGAUGAUAUUCCUGCUGCUGUCAAAAACUCCCUGACCAAGGCCACUUAUAAAAGAAAGUGUUUAAUCGAGUUUACUGUUNUAGAAGAAAGCACAGAAUANGCUUCACCUUUCCAAAAGGUGGCUCUGCCCGAGCCUGACAAAUACAGGAGGCUCGAAGCCAACCAUUGGACGGUUCUGAUUUUUUAAUACAUGUUCAUGGGCAAAUACUCUCAUACAAACACCCCCUCCCUACUCCAUCCCUACAGAUACUCAUGUACAUUCACCAUACACAUUGAAAGAAUGAAUAAAUAAAUUCACUUCCUGC